Molecule: long non-coding RNA, 745 nt
Filed under: Nicotiana benthamiana
Lineage: Eukaryota; Viridiplantae; Streptophyta; Magnoliopsida; Solanales; Solanaceae
Description: long non-coding RNA (NBEN_LNC031438)
Source: RNAcentral
UUAAAAAAAAAAGAUCUCAAUAGUAGGCUCUUCUUUUCUUCUGGUAAAAAAAAAAAAGAUUAAACAACUCUGCUUGGUAACUUUGAGUUUUGGAGCUCUGUUAAAUGGAUACUGAAGUUGUUUAUUGGUUACUGCUACCUUGCUCUCUGAUGCUGAAUUAUAUGUGUUCUAUUUAGUAUUUUGGAGCAAAAUUUCAAGCACCAAGGUACACACCAUGGCCUUAUGCUAAAAUCUUUGUAGUUUUGACCUAACAUGAAUGCUAAAAGUGUUGUUUGAAUAAUAGGAUGUGUAUCUCUAUUGAUUCUCGUUUCUUAUGCUUAAAACAUGCUUUUCUUGUAUUUCUAAUGCAUUAGUUGAUAUUUGUUAAGCCUGAGUUAUAUCUACACUGUUUUAUUGGUCAUUCAUGCCUAAUAUUUUGCUUCAUGGGUUGAGUUUUGUGUUAGCCAAUGGUCAUCAUGUAUGCAGUAUGUCUCUUGAUGGAUCUGAUCUCGAUAUGAUCAGAUUCAUGAGAGUUAGUUGAAAUUGAUAUUACUCUUGUGUGGGAAGAGUUGACAACUUUAUGGAGGAUUACAAUCCAAAUGUAUAUUUGAUUUUAAUAGUUUAGGUUAAUUCUGUUUGCUAUUUCAUAUGGCAAGUUUUGUUUAAUCUUCAUUUACUAGUUAAUUAUUUCCUCAAUGGCUCAAAGUCUUGUUAAAUGACAUUGAGCCUACAUGUAAGUAAAUGUAAUGUAUAAAGAAUUGUGAAG